UUAUUUCAUUGGAGUAAAAUAUUCAGACAAUUGGUUCUUAACAGGGUUUUGUAAAUGGUCUUCUCACUGGCUGGCCGUGAAUGAAUCUUACACAAGCCAAAGUUUCUCAAACACAAGAUAUGGAAACUCAUCCAGUGGAAGCAACAGGGUAAAUAAAACAAUGGGAUAGCACGGAACGCUAAAUAAGUAUUUCGAUAAUGAUCCUUCCGCAGGUUCACCUACGGAAA
Molecule: unclassified non-coding RNA, 227 nt
Filed under: uncultured fungus
Lineage: Eukaryota; Fungi
Description: sequence contains ITS1
Source: RNAcentral